UAAUAAGUGUUUUAUGGCACUUUUUUAAAUCCAUAUCCACCUUGUGUGCAAUGUCAGUCGGUAUCUUUUCGUCAAUGGAAAAAAGGAUUCGACCAAACAUCAACCUUAUUCUAAUUUAACACUUUUGUCUGAAAAAUAUUAUGAAUAAACUAAUUCAAAAUA
RNAcentral lists this unclassified non-coding RNA (162 nucleotides) under soil metagenome. RNAcentral describes it as "partial internal transcribed spacer 1". The record is from RNAcentral.